CAAAACAAGUAAAUCUUUGCAUAAUCCUUGCUAAUUCAUAACAUAGGUGUAGGUUCAGAUUUUACGACAGGUAAAAUCUUUUUCUUGGAAGAGGGGUACUGUAACAUUUGAAAAUGUUAUUUUUUUUAUUUUACGAUUCAAUGGAUCAUAAGUUUUUGAACGUAAAUACGCUCGGGGCGAAGGGCGCGGGGAGUGCGCGCCGCAGGCGCAGCGUCUCGGCCAGAGACAGACUGCCACACUCGCCAGCCUCGCUUGAAACUUGAACUUGAGCACCCGCGUACCGCUUGAUGCGGCGCGCGUCUUAAUAAAUCGAUCUCGUUGGCGUUUUUUCAUAGUGCGAGUUUAAUAAAACUUUAAUGAAACCUCACAGUUAAUCAAACUUAAGUGUCUAGCCUACAUUUCAUCCCGUAACUGGGAAUUACGGCCGGGCUCAGUUUGAGCUAGGACUUAUUGUGGACCGUUCCGGAGGGGACAGAGAAGUGGACAUCACGGCGUCCCACGGGGACCGCAGGAGGCCGCACAGGGGAGUCUGGCACAAGUGUUACGUGGAACCGAUCUUUUUACAACCUACCCACCUGUACCUUAAAAUCAAAUAUUUUUAAACUUAGAUUAAUAAAUUUUGUAAACUUA
Long non-coding RNA from Ostrinia nubilalis (European corn borer), 630 nucleotides. RefSeq lists it as uncharacterized. The transcript is spliced from 2 exons. The record is from RefSeq and is a predicted model, not a curated record. Lineage: Eukaryota; Metazoa; Arthropoda; Insecta; Lepidoptera; Crambidae.